This 1546-nucleotide ribosomal RNA is filed under the name Salmonella enterica subsp. enterica serovar Senftenberg. RNAcentral describes it as "bacterial SSU rRNA". It matches the Rfam family "Bacterial small subunit ribosomal RNA". Lineage: Bacteria; Pseudomonadati; Pseudomonadota; Gammaproteobacteria; Enterobacterales; Enterobacteriaceae. The record is from RNAcentral.
UUAAAUUGAAGAGUUUGAUCAUGGCUCAGAUUGAACGCUGGCGGCAGGCCUAACACAUGCAAGUCGAACGGUAACAGGAAGCAGCUUGCUGCUUUGCUGACGAGUGGCGGACGGGUGAGUAAUGUCUGGGAAACUGCCUGAUGGAGGGGGAUAACUACUGGAAACGGUGGCUAAUACCGCAUAACGUCGCAAGACCAAAGAGGGGGACCUUCGGGCCUCUUGCCAUCAGAUGUGCCCAGAUGGGAUUAGCUUGUUGGUGAGGUAACGGCUCACCAAGGCGACGAUCCCUAGCUGGUCUGAGAGGAUGACCAGCCACACUGGAACUGAGACACGGUCCAGACUCCUACGGGAGGCAGCAGUGGGGAAUAUUGCACAAUGGGCGCAAGCCUGAUGCAGCCAUGCCGCGUGUAUGAAGAAGGCCUUCGGGUUGUAAAGUACUUUCAGCGGGGAGGAAGGUGUUGUGGUUAAUAACCGCAGCAAUUGACGUUACCCGCAGAAGAAGCACCGGCUAACUCCGUGCCAGCAGCCGCGGUAAUACGGAGGGUGCAAGCGUUAAUCGGAAUUACUGGGCGUAAAGCGCACGCAGGCGGUCUGUCAAGUCGGAUGUGAAAUCCCCGGGCUCAACCUGGGAACUGCAUUCGAAACUGGCAGGCUUGAGUCUUGUAGAGGGGGGUAGAAUUCCAGGUGUAGCGGUGAAAUGCGUAGAGAUCUGGAGGAAUACCGGUGGCGAAGGCGGCCCCCUGGACAAAGACUGACGCUCAGGUGCGAAAGCGUGGGGAGCAAACAGGAUUAGAUACCCUGGUAGUCCACGCCGUAAACGAUGUCUACUUGGAGGUUGUGCCCUUGAGGCGUGGCUUCCGGAGCUAACGCGUUAAGUAGACCGCCUGGGGAGUACGGCCGCAAGGUUAAAACUCAAAUGAAUUGACGGGGGCCCGCACAAGCGGUGGAGCAUGUGGUUUAAUUCGAUGCAACGCGAAGAACCUUACCUGGUCUUGACAUCCACGGAAGAAUUCAGAGAUGGAUUGUGCCUUCGGGAACCGUGAGACAGGUGCUGCAUGGCUGUCGUCAGCUCGUGUUGUGAAAUGUUGGGUUAAGUCCCGCAACGAGCGCAACCCUUAUCCUUUGUUGCCAGCGGUUAGGCCGGGAACUCAAAGGAGACUGCCAGUGAUAAACUGGAGGAAGGUGGGGAUGACGUCAAGUCAUCAUGGCCCUUACGACCAGGGCUACACACGUGCUACAAUGGCGCAUACAAAGAGAAGCGACCUCGCGAGAGCAAGCGGACCUCAUAAAGUGCGUCGUAGUCCGGAUUGGAGUCUGCAACUCGACUCCAUGAAGUCGGAAUCGCUAGUAAUCGUGGAUCAGAAUGCCACGGUGAAUACGUUCCCGGGCCUUGUACACACCGCCCGUCACACCAUGGGAGUGGGUUGCAAAAGAAGUAGGUAGCUUAACCUUCGGGAGGGCGCUUACCACUUUGUGAUUCAUGACUGGGGUGAAGUCGUAACAAGGUAACCGUAGGGGAACCUGCGGUUGGAUCACCUCCUUACCU